RNA transcript from Pangasianodon hypophthalmus (striped catfish), 2766 nucleotides. It is a transcript of the gene named LIM and senescent cell antigen-like domains 1, with no coding region annotated. The record is from RefSeq and is a predicted model, not a curated record. NCBI's taxonomy places the organism in Eukaryota, Metazoa, Chordata, Actinopteri, Siluriformes, Pangasiidae. The transcript has 11 exons.
UUGUUGACGGUCCCUCAGCAGAAGGGUGGGGUCACUGAAAAUCCAGCGCCUGGAGCAAAGCGGAGAGGAAAAAAAAGUGUUUAGCUGCUAGCAGUGUUGCAUUUCUUUGCUGAAAUACUUCAUAUAAACCUAGUUUAAAGUUGUCGACUCUCAAUACUCGUCCUGGAUUAGCUGUCUAGUAGGGGAUGCUGGGUGUGUCAGAAAUGACGGGCAGCAAUAUGGCCAAUGCCCUGGCAAAUGCCGCAUGUGAGCGUUGUAAAAGCGGCUUUGCCCCGGCGGAGAAGAUCGUCAACAGUAAUGGCGAGUUGUACCAUGAGCAGUGCUUCGUCUGUGCCCAGUGCUUUCAGCAGUUUCCAGAGGGACUCUUCUACGAGUUUGAAGGCAGGAAGUACUGCGAGCAUGAUUUCCAAAUGUUGUUUGCUCCUUGCUGUCACCAGUGUGGUGAGUUCAUCAUUGGCCGUGUGAUUAAAGCGAUGAACAACAGCUGGCACCCUGACUGCUUCUGCUGCGACAUUUGUCAGGCAGUGUUAGCUGAUGUUGGAUUUGUCAAGAAUGCUGGCCGUCAUCUGUGUCGUCCAUGUCAUAAUCGGGAGAAGGCUCGUGGUCUUGGGAAGUACAUUUGUCAGAAGUGCCAUGCCAUCAUUGAUGAGCAGCCUCUCAUCUUCAAGAAUGACCCCUACCAUCCGGAUCACUUCAACUGCAGCAACUGCGGUAAGGAGUUGACUGCUGACGCUCGGGAGCUGAAAGGAGAGCUCUACUGUCUCCCAUGCCAUGAUAAAAUGGGAGUGCCGAUUUGUGGAGCCUGCAGAAGGCCUAUCGAAGGCCGUGUGGUAAAUGCCAUGGGCAAGCAGUGGCAUGUUGAGCAUUUUGUGUGUGCUAAGUGUGAGAAACCCUUCCUGGGUCAUCGCCAUUAUGAAAGAAAAGGGCUGGCAUACUGCGAGACUCACUACAACCAGCUUUUUGGUGAUGUCUGCUACCACUGCAACCGAGUGAUCGAAGGAGAUGUUGUGUCGGCUCUGAACAAAGCCUGGUGUGUCAACUGCUUCUCCUGUUCUACCUGCAACACCAAGCUCACGCUGAAGGACAAAUUUGUAGAGGUUGACCUGAAGCCGGUGUGUAAGCACUGCUACGACCGGCUGCCCGAGGAGCUGAAACGGCGCCUUGCUAAACGCGAACGUGAUGCUCGUGAGAAGAAGAAGAAGACGGUUGCUGUCUGUCUGUAACUCCUGUCUCCUCUUUUUCUCCACGCUCAUCCAUCUUUACUCUUUCCUUUUUUUGGGGAACAAGUUUGUGGAGUUUGACAUGAAGCCCGUGUGUAAGAAGUGCUAUGAGAAGUUUCCCCUGGAGCUGAAGAAGAGGCUGAAGAAGCUGGCUGAAACUGUGGCCCGCAAGUAGACUUCGACACCCACAGGGGGCGCCCGAGACCCAGUGAACUUUCCUGUGCUUGAUGGAAUGGAGACCAUGCAUUUCUAUAGCCUUAAUAUCCUCUUGCAUUGCUACUCAGUGGUGUUAGUUGUAUUAGUUCAGUAUUCAGUAUUACUCUUGUAUUUGAGGAAAGCCCAGUGAAUGAGGCAAAUAUUUUUCACUUAUUGCUCCAUACUUCUAAUCAGAGUGCCUCUUCAUUUAUUAUAAUUCAGGAACCAAAAGGCUUUAUGUUUGGUAGAAAUGUAUAUAAAACUUUUAUUCAGUAUAUGCAAUAAGAAGCUUCACAAUAAUCAGUGUGUGUGAUGUAAUGUGCAGUUUACACACUAGAAUGCCUUGAUGGAUUGAAUUGCCCUUCUAACAUGAUACACUGCUUUUACUGUAUAGCCAAAGUUGUUUGCCUUUAUGUAAUCCUAUUUUAUAAUGGUAUAUUCUGUGAGAAACGGGUAAAGAAAGAAUGAAAAAAAAACAAAACAAAACAAAAACCUGUUUACAUGUCUCACUUUAACUGAAAUAUAUAUUCUAAAUAUAAGUUCUAAAUCAAACUCCUACCAUGAUAUCACCUUUUUAUGUAUGUGCUAAUAUUACAGGCUUAUUAUUAUUAUUACAUGAUUGUAUUAAAAUACAGUAGGUUGGUGUUAAGGUUGUGCUUUUGGAAAAGUCCUGGCAGAUUUGAAGCUGUAAAAUCUUAAAUAUGCCAAAUGUUUUAACUGAUCAAAGGGUCCAGACUAAUAAGGACUUUAAAAAGUUCUCUAAAAAUUGUACGUACUCCUGAUGCUUUUCAGCGUUAUCAUAUGUGAAUCAUGGCCGAGUGUUAGGAAAGUAUUAGCUUCUGCAUUUGAGGAAUGACGAGUUACAGUGUGUGCAGCUGAAUGUAUCGAAUUGCUACACAUCAUUUUUUUUAUAACUUCCCUGAAAAAAAAACCAAACACACACAUAGUUCAUGUACCAGGAUUUAAUUUAAGUGUGUUUAGUGUCCCACGAGCAAGUGUGUGAUUUUUUUUUUUAUUUUUAUUUUUUACAGCAAAAUGUGAUAUGUUUUCUACAUCUUGGGCCAAAAAUCUGACAUGUUGAAAGGACCAGCAGUGUUUUUAGUUAUUUCCCCCUUUUUUUCAAACUGUAUAUUGUAGAUGAUGUUCUGGGUAUUUUUUUUUUUUGUCCACUUCAUUUGAUUUCCAUUUAAGAUUUCCACCAGUGACUUUACACAGAAUAAAAGCAAACAUAAGUAAUUACAGCUGAGCAUUAUAUGCAACUAUUCAUCUUAUUUAUGCUAUACCAUUUCACUGUAUCUCUAAUAUGCUGAUUAAUGCUUUAAACAUAUGCAAAUAAAAUAUGCACUCGUGA